GCGCCAAUAGUCUAGCCUGGUUCAAGAUGCAGGAAAGGAUACGAGCUUCCCAAGCUUGUGGCUCGGGUUCAAAUCCCGAUUGGCGCA
This 87-nucleotide transfer RNA is filed under the name Candidatus Aenigmatarchaeota archaeon. RNAcentral describes it as "tRNA-Gly". It matches the Rfam family "tRNA". Rfam says of the family: Transfer RNA (tRNA) molecules are approximately 80 nucleotides in length. Their secondary structure includes four short double-helical elements and three loops (D, anti-codon, and T loops). The record is from RNAcentral. Lineage: Archaea; Nanobdellati; Candidatus Aenigmatarchaeota.